CUUAGUAGUAGUAGACUAAGAACAACUCUAAACAGAAUACAAGAAAGCCUUAUUGAUCUAGAAGUUUCAGCUGAUCCUACUGCCACACUCACAGCAGCAGAAGAAAGAAAGGAGAAGGUGCCAAGUCCACACCUCAGUCACCUAGUGGUUUUGACAUCUGGGGAUACGUUGUAUGGGUUGGCAGAAAGAGUGGUAGCCACGGAAUCCUUGGUAUUCUUGGCUGAACAGUUUGAGUUCCUUCAGCCACAUCUGGAUGCUGUGAUGCCUGCAGUCAAAAAGCCCUUUCUUCAGCAGUUCUAUUCUCAGGU
This 308-nucleotide long non-coding RNA is filed under the name Pan troglodytes (chimpanzee). Its description in RNAcentral is "long non-coding RNA NONPTRT015748". Lineage: Eukaryota; Metazoa; Chordata; Mammalia; Primates; Hominidae. The record is from RNAcentral.